This is a small nucleolar RNA of Pelobates fuscus (common spadefoot toad), 125 nucleotides long. RefSeq annotates it as small nucleolar RNA SNORA47. The transcript has a single exon. The record is from RefSeq and is a predicted model, not a curated record. NCBI's taxonomy places the organism in Eukaryota, Metazoa, Chordata, Amphibia, Anura, Pelobatidae.
UGGAGGAAUGAGAAGGUGGAGCAGAUGUUAUGUACUGCUUCCUACUGGUAUUAACCUCCUACAGGAAAAAUGCAGGUACAUGGCUCCUUUUCACUUCUGUUGAGAUCGUAGCUUGUAUUUAUGUA